CCUCUCUCCACGUCCACGGCGCCGAGUCUCGCCACGGUGGCGCAGGCGCCAGGGAGGUUCCCCGGCUUUGCCGCGCGGAGGAAGUCCCGGUUACGCAGAGCGCGCUGGGGCAGGGCUGACCUUCCCCUUUCUCUACUUCACUGGCCUCCUCCAGACGUGGUGGUUGCGCCCUUUCGGCCUCGCUUUCCGUUUUUUGGCUUCAUCCCCUAGAUCUGCAAACAGUUCCUCGUGUUUCUUCCGUUAGCCGGGAAACGCGAACUGCAGCGUUUGGGACCCGGGUUUGCGCGUGUGGAAAGCAAAAGGGGUUACUCUGCUGGAGUUCGACAUUGCAAAUAAAGGUCUUUAUCCCCGGCGGUUCUACAAAAUUAGUUCUGCAGGGAUUCUGGUUGAAAGAAGCGUUAAAGUGGGCCUUGUAGGAGUCAGCAAUAAUCCAAUUUUACAUGGGUGCAGGUGGCUGCCUGUGUCUAGCGCUUUCACACAUCUCAUAUCUUCAUCCACGCCGUGGGUAUUUUUUUUCCACGGUGUGUUUCUGUUGCUGCCUCCAGUAUAUUGCUUAAUCAUCCUACCUGGUAAUUAUUUAUGCAUUUUUCUCCUACUCUCGACUCAGCUCCUAGGGAAUAAAAACACAUUAACUUAUCUUUGUGCCCACAGCACCCACCAAGUAUUUCCAUCACGUAAUACUGCCUCUAGAAAGGCAGGAGGAGAAGCAGUCACGCUAAGGAUCUAGGCAAGCCAGAUCUUUUGUCCGGUUUUAGGAGGUGGCCAGCCCUUACUUAUUCCACAAGUGUUUUUCCAGAAACUCAGACUUGAUAUUGCCUCAAGUCCAAGGCAGUGUGCUUCCCCCACUCACAUAUCACUAAUAGUAGCUAACAUUUGUUCAGAUCCCUGUAUGUACUCUGCCACUGUUUUAAAUGUUACACCCGGGUUACCUCAUUUAAUCCUUACAACUGCCCUGUGAGGUAGGUACUAUUAUUAUCUCUACUUUGUAGAUGGGAUUCACCGAGGCACAGACGGUUAAAAAACCUAGCCCAAAUAACACAAAUAAACAGCAGAGCAUGCAGUGCUAGAGUCUGCAUUCUUAACAAUUGCUAUAUUCUCCCUCUCCGUGAAUGUGGGCUGAGAUGCUGAAACAGGCAUGUGCUGUGGGGGAGAAAAAGCUUUGUCCAACCAAGUGCUUUCUAAUGUCCAGAUGACAUAGAGCUAGGAUUUCCUAAUGUCUUUUUUCCCCUAUUUUUCUCUCCAUUUCAGGGUUGAGUUUGUGCAUCGAUUGUGAACACAACAGGCAGCAGGCUAUAAUGGUGGUCCUGGCUGGAGUAGUUUUCACAGACUUCAGUAAUCUGUGGAGAUGAACGGGCAGUUCUCUGUAGUUUUCACAGAUCACUGCCAGUUCGUUUUGAGGCCUUCAGGAGUGAAGACCUGGCUCAUCAUCACUCUUUGUUGUUUUGUUAAAUUUAUUUACACCCUACUUUAUUCCAGAGGAAAGGAUUUAACGUAGUUUACAUAAAUGUGUACAUCAGGGUAAAUUAAAAAUAAGUACAGAGAAAAAUAGGACAAAAGAAAACCGUGAGUGUGAAAGAUAAGAUUAAGCCAGCAGUUUUGUAUGCAAAAUGCAUGGUGUAAGGUCCUAUUGGUUUGCUGGAGGUAGGCCACACAUAUGACUCUCAGUUUUCUAGCAACCAAGAAAAAGAUCAGUUGCAAUCGGAGUAGGUGUUUUGGCUAAGCUGGAACUAGGACUUGAAUAUAGCAGCUUGUAGAGUUAUACCACUUGCCCAAAUCUCUUCCAUGAGCCUCUUUAAGUGUAACAGAAUGCCUGGGAGCACGUAAAUGCUCCUACUUAGAUGCCUACUUAGCCUCUAAUUUUCAUGGGGCCCAUGAAUCCCAUGAAAAAGAACUUUGAACCCUGUCCACAAUUAGAGUUCAGGUAUACGCAGACAUGUUUAAAGACAAGGGACACCCAAAGGAAAGAUUGCACAGAGAGAAAGUGAGCAUCCGAGAGAAAAUCACCACAAGUGAGGCAGAGGGAGGCCGGUCUCAGCAGAGUUUUGGAGGUCGUGAGAAGAAGAGGUAGGAGAUAGGAGAGUGGUUCCGAGUACUUGCCUGCUGAUGUUACCUUCUCCACCCCCACCAGGUUUUCCAGUGCCUGGAGUCUUGGGCAGGAAUGGGCCACUGUAAGAAAGAGCUUUAUCACUAGGGCCUCAGCCAACUUUUCUGUGGGAUAUCCCUCCAAAAUAAUUAAGAGUUCAGAAUGCUUCAGAUUUUGAAGUGAAACUGGUACAUAUAUUAAGUGUUACUUAAUAACCCGAUAGUUUCUAGGGCAGCUCACCAUAAUCCCAAGUAUUAGCCACCACCCUCACCCCCUUCAGAGUAAAAUGUGUUUCCUGAAGGAAGUUGGGAAAAUGAAGAAAAAAAAUACAAAAAUCACCUAUAAUCUUACCAGUCAUAGAUGGCAGUUUUCCUGUCUUAUUUCUGAAUAAUGGUUGUUAAACAUUUGCCAGCACACCAUAAGGCUUAGGGAGGCAUCUGGGUCAUGCAUGUUAAUAUCCUUGGGUAAUUCCAGAAAUCUCUAUGAAGGGAAACUCCUGUUAUUUAUCUAGACUUCCUGAUUGCAAGGGGUUUGGGCAUCAUGAUUUAGGGGUCUUAAUAAAAUUAUUAUUUUAUUUUUACUAAUAGAUAAUGUCUGUGCCUAUCAGAUAAAGGCAAACCAGUGCUCAGAGGAACCCAACCAUCUCUGAAUUGAGACCAGAGAGCUGUCUCUAUGGAUAGUCCUUAGAGAAGGCAUUUCGGAACACAGUAAACAGCAGCCUGGUGACUCCGAUUACAGGGCCAGUUGCCUUUGUUACAAUAAAAGCAAGUCAUCUACACAGGAGUUUCACUCGUUGCCCAGGCUGGAGUGCAAC
Molecule: long non-coding RNA, 2897 nt
Filed under: Homo sapiens (human)
Lineage: Eukaryota; Metazoa; Chordata; Mammalia; Primates; Hominidae
Description: HSALNT0301388
Source: RNAcentral